RNAcentral lists this ribosomal RNA (496 nucleotides) under uncultured bacterium. RNAcentral's name for it is "partial 16S ribosomal RNA". It matches the Rfam family "Bacterial small subunit ribosomal RNA", at positions 29 to 507 of the family's 1533-position model. The record is from RNAcentral.
AUGAACGCUGGCGGCGUGCCUAAUACAUGCCAGUCGAGCGAACAGACGAGGAGCUUGCUCCUCUGACGUUAGCGGCGGACGGGUGAGUAACACGUGGAUAACCUACCUAUAAGACUGGGAUAACUUCGGGAAACCGGAGCUAAUACCGGAUAAUAUAUUGAACCGCAUGGUUCAAUAGUGAAAGACGGUUUUGCUGUCACUUAUAGAUGGAUCCGCGCCGCAUUAGCUAGUUGGUAAGGUAACGGCUUACCAAGGCAACGAUGCGUAGCCGACCUGAGAGGGUGAUCGGCCACACUGGAACUGAGACACGGUCCAGACUCCUACGGGAGGCAGCAGUAGGGAAUCUUCCGCAAAGGGCGAAAGCUUGACGGAGCAACGCCGCGUGAGUGAUGAAGGUCUUCGGAUCGUAAAACUCUGUUAUUAGGGAAGAACAAAUGUGUAAGUAACUAUGCACGUCUUGACGGUACCUAAUCAGAAAGCCACGGCUAACUACGUG